Molecule: long non-coding RNA, 736 nt
Organism: Centrocercus urophasianus (Greater sage-grouse)
Lineage: Eukaryota; Metazoa; Chordata; Aves; Galliformes; Phasianidae
Exons: 2
Source: RefSeq, a predicted model, not a curated record
AUAAGCGACUCAAACAGGAGAUGUGUAGCUACACGUAGGCCCCACUUGAAUCCAACAUCACAGAUCAGAAAGCUAGCUUUCAAGACUAUUCCAGUGCAAGGAAAUCCAUCAGACCAAUUCUUGUGAGCGUCUCCUCUCCAGCAAGCUUCCUGCACAUGCUGAGGCAUGCAUUUUCAUGAAGCUCAACAGCUGAGAGUUGAGGUUCAACACUUCUGAACUCUCUCUGCUGCCCAGGCAGCUCUGGCUGAGCUGUUCAAACAGAGGAUGCUGUGUCACCACAGACAGAUGAUAACACUACUUCAGAACAAAAGGUUUGUACAAAGCCGAGGUGCCCUGCUUGAAGAAUUGCUUAAAGUUCCCAGACUGCUAAUCAGAUACCAGCAACACUGCACACAUCAGCUGUUAGGUCAGUACAGCAAUAGAAUGUUUGGAACCGUGCACACUGUCUCUAUUACCCGCUUGCUACUCUAAAGGUAUACACAUCACUUAACAUUACAGUACAUUCCAGUUCAGGAAAUCCUUAUGAAAUAAAUACAUGACAAGCUCCCUAUGUUCAUUUUUGAAAUCCAUGUCAAACUUUAAACAUGCUUUAAAAUACUGAUCUUUUCUUUUUUCUUUUUCUUUUUUCCCUGGAAAACAAACAGACGUGACAGAAGCCUGGCUCUACAGAACAACGCAAUGCACGCAGUGACAGCAAAGAUGGGCAACGAAAUAAAAUACAGUCAGUGACACCUGA